AUAAGAUGAGAGUUUGAUCCUGGCUCAGGACGAACGCUGGCGGCAUGCCUAAUACAUGCAAGUCGAACGAGCUUCCGUUGAAUGACGUGCUUGCACUGAUUUCAACAAUGAAGCGAGUGGCGAACUGGUGAGUAACACGUGGGGAAUCUGCCCAGAAGCAGGGGAUAACACUUGGAAACAGGUGCUAAUACCGUAUAACAACAAAAUCCGCAUGGAUCUUGUUUGAAAGGUGGCUUCGGCUAUCACUUCUGGAUGAUCCCGCGGCGUAUUAGUUAGUUGGUGAGGUAAAGGCCCACCAAGACGAUGAUACGUAGCCGACCUGAGAGGGUAAUCGGCCACAUUGGGACUGAGACACGGCCCAAACUCC
Molecule: ribosomal RNA, 367 nt
Filed under: Levilactobacillus brevis
Lineage: Bacteria; Bacillati; Bacillota; Bacilli; Lactobacillales; Lactobacillaceae
Description: bacterial SSU rRNA
Rfam family: Bacterial small subunit ribosomal RNA
Source: RNAcentral